Molecule: ribosomal RNA, 579 nt
Filed under: Rahnella aquatilis
Lineage: Bacteria; Pseudomonadati; Pseudomonadota; Gammaproteobacteria; Enterobacterales; Yersiniaceae
Description: bacterial SSU rRNA
Rfam family: Bacterial small subunit ribosomal RNA
Source: RNAcentral
GGAAACGGGAGCUAAUUACGCAUGACCUCAAAAGAGCAGAGUGCGGGAUCUUCUGACCUCUCGCCAUCGGAUGUGCCGGAUAGCAUUAUCUACUCGGUGAGGUAAUGCCUCACCUAGGCGACGAUCCCUAGCUGGUCUGAGAGGAUGACCACCGACCCUGAAACUGAGACACCGUCCCCACUCCUACCCGAGGUAUCACUGGGGAAUAUUUUACAAUGCGCGCCAGCCUGAUGUGGCCAUGCCGCGUGUGGGAAGAACGCCUUGCGGUUGUAAAGCACUUUCUUCGAAGAGCAAGGUGUCAUCAUUAAGGUUGUGGUGAUUGACGUUACUCGAAGAAGAAGCUCGUCUGUGGCGUGCCCCGCCGUGGUAAUACGGAAAGGGUCGCGUGAUCAUAAUUACUGGGCGUAUAGCCCACGCCGCUUUUGCUAAAUCAGAAGCAAAUCCCCGCGCUUGGCAUGGGAACUGCAUUUGAAACUGGAAAUUAGAGUCUUGUAGAGGGGGGUAGAAUUCCAGGUGUAGCGGUGAAAUGCUUAUAGAUCUGGAGGAGUACCAGUGGCGAACGCCGUCCCCUGAUACUGA